This 301-nucleotide ribosomal RNA is filed under the name uncultured bacterium. RNAcentral describes it as "partial 16S ribosomal RNA". It matches the Rfam family "Bacterial small subunit ribosomal RNA", at positions 509 to 809 of the family's 1533-position model. The record is from RNAcentral.
CAGUCGCCGCGGUAAUACGUAGGGUGCAAGCGUUAAUCGGAAUUACUGGGCGUAAAGCGUGCGCAGGCGGUUUGUUAAGACAGAUGUGAAAUCCCCGGGCUCAACCUGGGAACUGCAUUUGUGACUGGCAAGCUAGAGUCUGGCAGAGGGGGGUGGAAUUCCGCGUGUAGCAGUGAAAUGCGUAGAUAUGCGGAGGAACACCGAUGGCGAAGGCAGCCCCCUGGGCCAACACUGACGCUCAUGCACGAAAGCGUGGGGAGCAAACAGGAUUAGAUACCCGAGUAGUCCCUGUCUCUUAUAA